RNAcentral lists this long non-coding RNA (4289 nucleotides) under Daphnia pulicaria. Its description in RNAcentral is "uncharacterized LOC124341470, transcript variant X7". The record is from RNAcentral. Lineage: Eukaryota; Metazoa; Arthropoda; Branchiopoda; Diplostraca; Daphniidae.
AUAAACUGCGGGUCAAAACUGGUCAAAACGCUUUCUAGAUUCUGUUCCUCUAAGAGAUAUAAGAGAAAAUGGACGUUGGCAAUGUUUUAAGUUUCAAACCCUGAAGGCCGUAUCCAGAUUGCAUAGUCUCGAUGCGGAUGCGAUGAGCAAAUUGCAUUCGUGACUCAACUCUACAAGCCAUUCGCUGAGUGUUUGGGUCCGGGGUCCACAAGCUGGCCAUUUUUCGCUGCUCUCAUACGACGUGUCACUAUUAUUGACAGAACGUCAUCAAUGCCACAGGCAAGAAAUUGGUAAAAAAUUGAUAUCAAGUUGAAAAGGCUGAGCAGCAAAUUCAAGACAUUGGAUCUCACCUGUGCCCAGUCUGAGCAGUUCAAUAUGGUUCAACCCCAGACCUCCAGAUAGGUUGUGCCCAAUACGAUGACAUUUGAAGUGUCUUCCCAAUGCUGUUUGCUACCUUACAACCGGUUGUAUGUAUUAUCGAAUUGUUUGAAGGUUUGGUUAUGACUGAGAGGAUGCAGCUUAUGUAUUGAAAGUUCGUCGGUGUCUCUACAUCAACGUGGAUCAUCUUUUAAUUUUGUUGGUUACAUUAUUCGUUUCAAGAAUGGAUGCAUCUGGUGUCAGUUGCCAGUGGCCACUAGCUAAGUCGCAACGCAUCCAAACGUGGCUUUCAUAUCUUAAGGCAUCCCGUCAUUUGUUGUCGAAAUGCUGUUCGAAGAAAUCAAGCAGGUACAAUAGCCGCAAGGCUCAGCCAUUUGGUAUUCAUUUUGAUAAUGGUUGUUGUAGACCCAUCCUCAGCCACGUCAACCUGAAGAAGGAAAGGUCAGUUUGCAUUUUCUUCACACUCGAAGGUCGCGGAUAUCAUAACGUAAAACGUGUCAUGCGACGGGGUAGAGGUUGGGUGAGAGAGCAGAAAGGUACGUGUUUCACCAUUAUCAAGCAGGUACAAUGUCCGCAAGGCUCAGCCAUUUGGUAUUGAAUUUGAUUUUUGUAGACCCAUCCCCAGCCACGUCAACCUGAAGAAGGAAAAGGCCAGUUUUUUGGCAUUUUCUUCACACUCGAAGGUCGCGGAGAUCAUAACGUAAUACGUAUCAUGCAAUGGCGGAGAGGUUGGGUGAGAAAGUUUCUUAAAAGGUGAUAAAAGGCGAAAUAAUUAGUCGAGUGAUUAUCUCUGACUUGACGACAGCUGCCGUGCACUAUUUGUCCCCAACUGCAUUCUUCAUUUUAUGAAGGGUGUUUAGUAAACUGUGGCGUCGUGCUGAGGCUUUAGAAUACUAGACUGCAACUUAUGCUGCCCCGAGCUGCUUAACCAAAGAGCCUGAACCCAUCCACGGCAACGUCAACUUGCAGAAGGAAGAGGUCAGUUUGCAUUUCCUUCACUUUCGAAGGUCACGGAGAUCAUUGUAAAACUGUCAAUGCGGUGGUGUAGAGUUUGGGUGAGAACGGGAAGUGUUUGCUUUGCUUUAUUAUCAAGCAAGUAUAAUAGCCGCAGGCCUUAAGAGAGGGGUCAGGGUGAGAAAAAGUCGUAUAAAUGGCAAGAGAAAAAACCACGGAACUCAGUCGAGUGAGCAUCUCCGACACGGCAACAACUGCAGCGCCAUAUGUGUCACCAACUACCUUCUUCGUCGCAUUGCCAGUUCGCAAUCAUGGUUUAGUUAACUAUGGCGCAGUGCUGAUGUUUGGUGUUGUAUCGUUAAUGAUUAAGGCACUACACUGACGUCCUGAAGUAUUACUCUGCCCCGAGUUACUACACCACCAAGGGCCAAGGCGACGGAGCAUGACUACGCAUGCUGCCCCAUCCUACUACACCGAGGCCCCCAACUGCUAUACCAAGGCUCCCGCUGAUUACUCCACCAAAACGGUCGAAUACUACAUCGAAGCGGUUAAGUAAUACUCUGCCCCGAUUUACACAACCAAAACUGAGGCGGCCAAGUAUUACGCUGUCCCGACGUACUACAGAGAAGCUGCUCUUUCGUGCUACGUUGAACAGAAAUACUACACUUAUGCUCCAGUUCACUACACCACGACCUACGCUAAACCGCAGCCCCCAGGUACUACACCGAAGAAGCCGCCUAUUAUACAACAACGUAUGCUGCCUAGUUUAUUACACCGAGAAUCCCAAGUACUACAUCACUAAGGCACCGGAAUUCUACACGUCUAUGUAUGCUGCCCUUGCCUACUACACCGAGGCCCCAAGUAUUACUGUGCGUAAAAGGAGUCGUCUAAAAAAAAAAGUCAUCCCCGAACUGCAGUGCCCUAUCUGUCAUCAACUGCAUUCCUCAUCGUGUAACCGAUUCGCAAUUCUGGUUAACUAUGGCGUCGUGCUCCUGUUGGGUGUUGUAUCGUUGAUGGCUGGAUCGAACGCAGGUGUAGUGAUGUCUUCUUGAUAUGGCGGAUAUCAAACCGCAACGCCGCCGCCUUCCUACACAACUUACGCAACGAUCAGUUCCUGCACCGAGGUCUUCAAGUACUACGCCAAUAAAGCACCGGAGUUUUAUACCACAACUUAUGCUGUCCCGAGCCACUACACUGACACCCCGAAGUAUUACUCUGCCCCGAGUUACUACACCACCAAGGCGACCGAGUACUACAUGACAAGGCAUGCUGCCCCAUCCUACUACACCGAGGCUCCCAACUACACCGAGGCUCCUGCUGAUAACUACACCAUAACGGUCAAAUACUACACCGAAGCGGCAUAGUACUUCUCUGCCCCGAGCUACUCAACCAGAACUGAGGCGGCUGGCGGCCAAGUAUUACGCAGUCCCGACUUACAACCCAGAAGCUGCUCUUUCGUGCUACGUUGAAUAGAAAUACUACACUGAUGCUCCAGUCUUCUACACCACGACCUACGCUAUGUGUCACCAACUACCUUCUUCAUCGCAUUAUCAGUUCGCAAUCAUGGUUUAGUUAACAAUGGCGCAGUGUUGCUGUUUGGUGUUGAAUCGUUAAUGGUUGGGUCGACCACGGGUGUACAGAUGUCUCCUGGACAUGGUAGAUACCAAGCAACGGCAGCGAAGGAAUAAUAAACCACGCCGUCGCCUUACUACGAAACGAAGUCCACACAAGCAACAUCUACUUACUACGCCGAGCCCUUCAAGUGCUACACCACUAAGGCUCUAGAGUUACGCGACAAAUUAUGCUGCCCCGAGUUACAUCACCAAAGCGCCUUAGUACUACACCACCGAGUACACUGUCCCAGCCUGCUACACCGAGGUUUCAGCUUAUUUCAAUGCCGAAGCGGUCGAGUACUACACCGAACCGCACAAGUACUACUCUGCACCGAAGUACACAACCAUAACUGAGGCGGCCAAGAACUACGUAGCCCAGACUUGCAACACAGCAGCUGCUCCUUCGUACUGCGUUGAACUGCAAUAAUACACCGAGGCUUCAGUUUACAACAGCAUAACCCACGCUACACCUAGAUACGAAGACCCCAACUACUAUACCCAAGAGGUCACACCACGUACACUGCCCCAUUUUACUACACUGAGGAACCCAAGUAUUACUUUGCUCCAAGCUACUACAAAACUGAGGCUCCUGUUUAAUACACGAAGUCACCGAGUAUUACAGCCAAAUGUAAGGUGUCGUGCUGCUGUUGGUUGUUGUAUCCUUGGUGGUUGGGUCAAUCACUAGUGUACCGAUGUCUCUUGGUGGUGGAUACCGAACCACAACGCCGCCGUCUUACUGCACGACAAAAACGUAUGCAACAACCGGAGUACUACACCACUGAGGCACAGUCGGAGUACUACACCACUGAGGCACAGUCGGAGUACUACACCGUCCCCAGCUACUACGCCACCAAGGGAAAAUGCUACACCGAAGUGCCCAAGCGCUACUCUGCCACGAAUUACUACACAGCGGCUGCUCCUUCGUACUACGUUGGACCGAAAUACUACACUGAGGUUCCAGUUUACUACACUACAACGUUUACUACACUACAACCCAUGUUGCCCUCAGCUACCAUACCGAGGCUCUGCUCCCAUACCGAUGCUCCCAAGUACUACAAUACCUAGGCACCCGAGUAUUAUAUCACUACUUAGGCAGUUCCGACCUAAUGCACCGAAGCUGGGAAGUAUUCCACUGCUCCGAGUUACUACACCAUCAAGGCACCCCUGGAUAUUACAUCUAAACCUACGGUUCUCCAGUUCAGUACAGGGAGGCUCUUAAAUACUAGAGUCGAAAUUUCUGAUUUUAUUUAUUCGUGUACAGAUUUGUCGGUUAUUAACUAACAGUUACUAGUCACUGGGAAGUGUUGUUGAUCUUAAAUGAGAAAAUAAAUGUUUUAAUGGUAA